Molecule: long non-coding RNA, 925 nt
Filed under: Fragaria vesca (wild strawberry)
Lineage: Eukaryota; Viridiplantae; Streptophyta; Magnoliopsida; Rosales; Rosaceae
Description: long non-coding RNA (FVES_LNC005503)
Source: RNAcentral
AAUGAAAAUUAAGGUAGCAAAUUGACACUAAAAUGAAAGUUAAGAUAGCAAAUUGGCAAUUAUACCUAUUGACAUUGUCUUUCUCUUUGAAAUACCAUUCAUAGUUUCAUACUGGAUGCCUUGACAAAAACCAGGGACUUUGUUGUUGUAAGUGACGACAGUAAUUAAGUACGUAGUUGUUAGGUGCGAUAAAUAUUAUCAGAGUAACACAAAACCUAAAUAGUUGUGGUAUAAAACUUUGGUACGUAUAAUAUCGUAGGGUGUGCUCCAUUAAUAGAGAAGAAAGAGUAAGUCUCUGAUUAGGAUGUGUGUAUUCAUGGACUAAAAACAGAUGACUUGUUCUGCACACGUUUUUUUUGCCCUGGAGACGAAAUCCCGUUUUGCAGCCUAGCAACAUUCCAGCACGCCAAAAUCGACAUCAAUAAACUGAUAUAGUACUGGCCUGCAAGCCUGCAAGCAAUAUGCAAACAAAUCACUGGACUGGAAGAUAUAACUUGAGGUGCUUGAUUUGUUGCCAUUGGUGAUUAUGAGGAAGACGAUCCAGUAUUGUAUGUCUAUGGAAAACUGGUCCGAGAAUCCAUUAAAGCCUCUUGGUACUGCAACACCACCCAUAACACCUAAAAUGUUGGUUUAAAAGUCUUUAUAGAUUUGGUUGUUAACUUUAUCUCUUCUUCUAAGUCAAAUAGAACAUGAAAAAUAAAGGUGCAAUAAAUCAUAUUGAAAAGGCGAGUGUAUUUUGGUUUUUAAGUCUAGUCUAGGCUAGGUAGGGCUGGGCACGGGACGGGACGGGCCGGGAUUUGGUGAAUCCCGUCCCGUCCCGAAAAUAAAAGAACGGGACGGGACGGGACGGGAAGGUGUUUUUAAAAAUCUGUCCCGUACGUCCCGAUCCCGACUAAAUUUUUUUUUUUUUUUUUUUUUUUNNNNN